RNAcentral lists this long non-coding RNA (1948 nucleotides) under Brachypodium distachyon (stiff brome). Its description in RNAcentral is "long non-coding RNA (BDIS_LNC002135)". Lineage: Eukaryota; Viridiplantae; Streptophyta; Magnoliopsida; Poales; Poaceae. The record is from RNAcentral.
UCAGGUUUAUCGUGCCCCCGCGUGAUCAAUAACCCUCUGGAGUUGGUGUAUCGAUUGCUAAGGCGCUGCCUGCUAGGCCGUAGUCGGAUCGUCAACGUCACCUCCUACCCAAAUCGAGAGUUAUCAAUCUCAUCGAAAGAUCGGGCCACCCGCACCCGUAUCACGUGGUAUCAGAGCUUAAGGUUGCUCGGUGAGAUUUUUCCAGUUUAUCCGUAGUUUAGAUCUGUUUUUACCUAUCGUCCAGAAAAAGCCAAACAAAAAUUAGAAUUAGUUAUCAUGUCCUAGAACCAAUCUGAGCCUUGCAAUUUUCACUUUAGUAUUUGCAUUGUUGAAUCUUUACUGCAUUCAUCGUGUCGAGUUGCUGGAUUAGAUUUGAUCGUUUUUUAGAUUUUUUCUACUAGAUCGAACUUGCUUUUGGUUUUCUUGUUUUUCGUGUGACGCAGGUUUCCUUCAUCAAUCUUCCGCCGCCAAACUUCCUGCCGCCAUAAUCUCCCGCCGCCACCAUAUCUUCCACCGAGUCCUUCUUCGAGUCCUACACCGAGUCCCUCCUUGAGUCUUACACCGAGUCUCUCGUCAAGUCCUACACUGUGUCCCUCUUCGAGUUCUACAUCGAGUCGGCAAGUUAUAGUUUUUAGCUGCGAGUUCGAGUCCGAGUCCAAUAAGGAGUGCUUUUGGAAAGUGUUUCAUCAUAGAUCGAAUUUUGUUUAGAGAUCAAGUUGUUUGGAAAGAUGAAAAAAAAGAAAGGAAAGAAAAAAAAAGGAAAGAAAGAAAGAAAAAAACGAAAAAAAAAGAGAAAGAGUUCGAGUCAGUUUCGGACCCGAGUCCGAGUAGAAUUUUAGUUUCGGGUGGGUUUGACCCGUGUUCAGUAAAACGGGCGUAUCUUUUGUGUACCAACUCGGAUUUGGACGUUUUUGGACUUUUUGGAAAGCUCACGACGAGGCACAUCAGGAAAUAUCCAGGACUUUGACCCUCAAAUUCGUUUUGUAAGGUGGACUUUCGGAGCUUCCAAGUUUUUGCAUCCGUUUUCCGGCGUCGCUGCAGCCCGGUGUUUCUCAGUUUUCUCCACCGUCCGACAUCCGUUUUGAGUGAUCUUGCCCUUGCUGGAAAGCUUGUGUCGAUACCCUUCUAACCCAUAUUUUUCUCAAUUUUUCUUUCUGCAGCCUUUGCUGUUCUUCGACAGACCGACGUACAAUUUUCCGGUCCUUCUUUUGCGUGAGUUUCUGGGGUUAAAAAAAAGAAAAAAGAAAAAAAGAAGAAGAAAAGAAUAAGAAGCCAAACAGAAGGCCACAAAAAGAAAAAAAUUCCCAGGGAUUUACUUGUUGUGCCAUCUUUCUAUCCUACCUUCUUCAGUAUCUAGGCUUAGAUUAUUUCUGUAAUUCGUUCUUAUCGACUCCAGCAGCUAGGACUAGCAUUAUUGAGCAUAUUUUCAACUUUGCAUUGCUGAUUUGAUUAUUUUCUAUUCCUUGCUACUCACAAAAGCCUCCAAGCUCCACAGACUCUACACCUAGGUUGGUUUGUUACCGAGGCAUCGAUACAUUUAAUCUCCAGAGGUGUUGGUUACGCCGCUGGCCAUCACCUUCCUGUUUUGCAUGGUAAGAACUUGUAAGAACUUGAUUUUUAGCUUGAGAGUUGAGCGACUUGUAGCCACAUCCUAGUAGUUGAUAGGAACAUAUUACUGUGAUUUGUUUCUUGUUUUCUACUAACCAUGACAGGACUUACACGAAGCAUGGCAACUAGACCGAUGCUAUCCCGUGACCGCGAUGAGUGCUUUUCACCACGGCCAUCCUCCACGUCUCUUGUUGAUAAUGCCACGGCAACGGUACAAAACAAUCCUUCUAAUACAAUUAAAUUGUGUGUACCUUUCUUUGAGGGGGAAAAUGAUGCUGAAACGUAUAUAGAUUGGGAGCUAGCUUUAACUGAACAAUUCACAUGCUUCCAUGUACUAGAU